AGAACGAACGCUGGCGGCAUGCCUAACACAUGCAAGUCGAACGAGACCUUCGGGUCUAGUGGCGCACGGGUGCGUAACGCGUGGGAAUCUGCCCUUCGGUUCGGAAUAACAGUUAGAAAUGACUGCUAAUACCGGAUAAUGACGUAAGUCCAAAGAUUUAUCGCCGAAGGAUGAGCCCGCGUAAGAUUAGCUUGUUGGUGAGGUAAAGGCUCACCAAGGCUACGAUCUUUAGCUGGUCUGAGAGGAUGAUCAGCCACACUGGGACUGAGACACGGCCCAGACUCCUACGGGAGGCAGCAGGUGGGGAAUAGUUGGACAA
Molecule: ribosomal RNA, 319 nt
Filed under: uncultured soil bacterium
Lineage: Bacteria
Description: bacterial SSU rRNA
Rfam family: Bacterial small subunit ribosomal RNA
Source: RNAcentral